CCUGGCGGCAAUAGCGCGGUGGUCCCACCUGACCCCAUGCCGAACUCAGAAGUGAAACGCCGUAGCGCCGAUGGUAGUGUGGGGUCUCCCCAUGCGAGAGUAGGACACUGCCAAUG
RNAcentral lists this ribosomal RNA (116 nucleotides) under Serratia sp. SCBI. Lineage: Bacteria; Pseudomonadati; Pseudomonadota; Gammaproteobacteria; Enterobacterales; Yersiniaceae. The record is from RNAcentral.